Molecule: long non-coding RNA, 1442 nt
Filed under: Felis catus (domestic cat)
Lineage: Eukaryota; Metazoa; Chordata; Mammalia; Carnivora; Felidae
Description: lncRNA (ENSFCAG00000045773.2)
Source: RNAcentral
UGGAGAAUGCGAGUGUGUGUGCACACACGUGUCCCUCGCCCUCUUCCUCAGAGGCUGGCACACUAUGCGCUACAAACGUGUGGGCGUUUUUAGACUUUGUUUCUCCAGGGGAGGGACUUUAAACGCUGAGUUUCCUCCUUGGAGGAAUCUGAAUUGUGCAUUAGCAGAAACUACUCAGAUCAAAUAAAGCUCUUGUGAGUUCUGCAAGACUUGGAACUGUGGGAGCCGCUGGCCGCUGUGUGGCGGGUUGGAAGUACGUUCACGCACGCGCAGCCAAGCAGAUCUUCCACGGGCUGUAGAGCCUUUUCUGCACCUGCUGCUGGAAGUUGUUACCUCAAGUGAGCCGUUUGUGUGACUCUUCGUAAGGAACAUGAGUCACAUGAAAGGGCACAUUGCCUUCGGGGACAUAAUCAAAUGCCUGAAUGACAAGUAUGAAGAGUGUCACCCUCAAUGACACCUUGGAAUCCUCAAACUGUUUUUCGUGGAGCCCGUCAGCAGGUGGAUGAUGGCCGGUUCCCCUUGGGAGAAGACUGCUCACCUGGCGCUGCUCAGCAAGGCCCCCUGUCUGCAGACCAGUCCCCUCACAUGCGACUUCAAAUCGCAGGAAAGACUUGCCCUGAGAGGAAGCAUCUCGAGGGAGCACAUUGGGUCUGCGCCGGACAGGAGGGGCUGGUCAGUGGGGGCAGCGGGGGGUGGUGGGGGGCACUGGAGGCCAUGUGGGCUGAGGGCUCAGCAUGUGUGCCUGGGGGCCGCUGCGGGGCCCCUGGAGCGUGGCCCUGGAUCCUGGCACUUCCCAGGCUGUACCCACCCGGUCCCAGGAGCCACCCAGCUCAGCCUCCAAGGUUCAGUUAACACACACAGUCAGGUGAAUCGUCCACCUGCUUGCGGGACGUGUGUGUGUGGGGGGGGGUGGCCCCCGAUGGGGGCCCUGCGCUGGGGCCCAGGUGGAAAAUACGUAGCUGGAGAAAGUUUCAGGUCCAGGCUGAGUCCCAGGCUCAGUCUCCACCCUGUCUGAACAGUGCAGGUGAAGGUGCGUGCCCGGCCGUGAGGCUCUGGAAGCAGGGCUGAGGUCCAGCGAGGGCAGAGAGCGGCCUGAGCCGGGCAGACAGGUGCCCGGCGUUUCCUCAGGGCCUUCGCUCUUAGAAAAGAUGGGGGGGGGCCUCUACCGGUUCUGUCGGGCCUCCCGUGGCCUCCGCACAUUCCAUCCCACAUCAGACGUGGGCAGAGACUUGCGUGGGCAGGAGAGGGCCACCCAGAGGGGUGCAGGGAGCUACCGCCAGGCUGGGGGAGCAGGCCAGGCCGCCAGCAGCCUUUCCUCAAGGAUCUGGAAAUCUGGGUUUCAGUGUGAAAUCUCCUGAUUUUAACAUAAACGUGUUUUUUUUUUUGUUUGUUUGUUUUUUUUUAAGAGAAAUGGAGACCAAAUAAAACACAUCUACAGGCCA